UGGGGGAUAUUGCACAAUGGGCGAAAGCCUGAUGCAGCGACGCCGCGUGGGGGAUGAAGGCCUUCGGGUUGUAAACUUCUUUUGCUCUGAACAAGGCAUGCCUUUGGGGUGUGUUGAGUGUAGGGGUUGAUUAGCGCCGGCUAACUACGUGCCAGCAGCCGCGGUAAUACGUAGGGCGCGAGCGUUGUCCGGAAUUAUUGGGCGUAAAGGGCUUGUAGGUGGCUGGUUGCGUCUGUCGUGAAAGCUCAUGGCUUAACUGUGGGUUUGCGGUGGGUACGGGCUGGCUUGAGUGCAGUAGGGGAGGCUGGAAUUCCUGGUGUAGCGGUGGAAUGCGCAGAUAUAAGGAGGAGUACCGGUGGCGAAGGCGGGUCUCUGGGCUGUUACUGACGCUGAGGAGCGAAAGAGUGGGGAGCGAACAGG
RNAcentral lists this ribosomal RNA (420 nucleotides) under Fusobacteriota bacterium. RNAcentral's name for it is "Fusobacteria bacterium partial 16S ribosomal RNA". It matches the Rfam family "Bacterial small subunit ribosomal RNA", at positions 355 to 776 of the family's 1533-position model. The record is from RNAcentral. Lineage: Bacteria; Fusobacteriati; Fusobacteriota.